Podarcis lilfordi (Lilford's wall lizard) is the source of this 71-nucleotide non-coding RNA. NCBI's taxonomy places the organism in Eukaryota, Metazoa, Chordata, Lepidosauria, Squamata, Lacertidae. The record is from the annotation of a GenBank genome assembly.
GGAUAGCUCAGUUGGAAGAGCAUGAGACUCUUAAUUUCAGGGUUGUGGGUUCGAGCCCCAGGCUGGGUAAA